Molecule: non-coding RNA, 664 nt
Organism: Callorhinus ursinus (northern fur seal)
Lineage: Eukaryota; Metazoa; Chordata; Mammalia; Carnivora; Otariidae
Source: RefSeq, a predicted model, not a curated record
UUUUUUUUUUUGCAAACUGCAGCUGGACAAGCAUCCUAAUGGCCUUCAUUUGCGACAACUCAGUGGUCAUGCCUCUCCCAGUCAUGGAAGUUCUGCUCUCAUGUCACCAUGACACAGAACGCGGCCCAAGUGAGGCUAUCUCUACAGCGUGGUUUUUUUUUGUUUGUUUAUUUUUUUUAAGCAGCUCCUCCAGUCAAAAAUGGAGAGGCAAAGACAAAACUGAAAUGUUCGUAAGAAGGUGUUCUUUGGUAUAAGAUGGUCACCCUUAGGGACAGAGCAACCUUCUUAGGAUGAUGUGUUCUUCUUGGCUCUUGAGGUGUUCUAGGUGAAGGUCGUUAAAACAUGGGCUGAGGCCCCAUAGCCACGGUGGUGAAAGGCAUCCAAAAGGCAAGCACUUCUGUUGAUCCCUCGGUGGUGAGACCAGAAAGAGGAAAACCAGCCUUGUCCCUUUAAGAAAAUGACCAAGUGGGAGGAUGGUGCCUGGUAGGCCACAGAGCCUCUUGCACCUUCUUUGUUGAGUGAUCAAAGCAACCCACCCAAGGCUAGAAACAUUAACAAAGUGGUUUUUUUGUUUUUGUCGUUGAUGUCUACGGAGGAGCAGGUGGGGUAUGAUUUUUAAAAUGGACUUCAUUAUAUAAAUGGUCCUGUUUCAAAUGACCAUAGG